UACGUAGGGUGCAAGCGUUAAUCGGAAUUACUGGGCGUAAAGCGUGCGCAGGCGGUUUUGUAAGUCUGUCGUGAAAUCCCCGGGCUCAACCUGGGAAUUGCGAUGGAGACUGCAAGGCUAGAAUCUGGCAGAGGGGGGUAGAAUUCCACGUGUAGCAGUGAAAUGCGUAGAGAUGUGGAGGAACACCGAUGGCGAAGGCAGCCCCCUGGGUCAAGAUUGACGCUCAUGCACGAAAGCGUGGGGAGCAAACAGGAUUAGAUACCCUGGUAGUCCACGCCCUAAACGAUGUCUACUAGUUGUCGGGUUUUAAUUAACUUGGUAACGCAGCUAACGCGUGAAGUAGACCGCCUGGGGAGUACGGUCGCAAGAUUAAA
This 374-nucleotide ribosomal RNA is filed under the name uncultured bacterium. Its description in RNAcentral is "bacterial SSU rRNA". It matches the Rfam family "Bacterial small subunit ribosomal RNA", at positions 524 to 898 of the family's 1533-position model. The record is from RNAcentral.